Molecule: long non-coding RNA, 696 nt
Filed under: Sus scrofa (pig)
Lineage: Eukaryota; Metazoa; Chordata; Mammalia; Artiodactyla; Suidae
Description: lncRNA (ENSSSCG00040040861.1)
Source: RNAcentral
AGCUGACAAUUUACUGGUUCAUCAAUGAAACAAUAUUGCAUUAUGAAGAUGUAAGGAAAAAAUCCUACGCUAACAUUGUUGCAGUUUGAAAGAGCAUGGAGGGGAAAAAUCAGCAUAUAUUGGAUUUUCACGAGAAUUCUGAGACGAUUCCAGUUGGAAUGAAAUCAAAUGCCAUUCUGUGCCGGACAGCAUUGCAAUGGAUGUCACGGGCAGUUAUCCGCACUGGCUCUUAAUCUCAUUUGGGGACAUCAGCCAUCCUCAUCCCCAAAGCACUUCUUCCUUGGUCGGAUGGAUUUGUCUCCUCCGCAUCUCUGGAUAUUUCUCCAAAUGAGGCUCAGUCUCUCCCCGGAGUAUAUAGGCCAGCGGGGACCAGCUGUGCAGGGCUCUGCCACCUGCUGUUGCCUCGGUGAGUCAUUCUCACACCCUCCAGUCCCUACAGCUGGGGAAGCGGAGCCUAAGCCUGUUCUUCCAAACCUGUUAUCUUGUUAUUUCCAGUCCUUCCUCCACAGCUCCCCGCACGUGCACCUGCACUUACAUAUGCAGUUGGUCACUGACACACACAUGCACACACACAGCCCCACACACGUGCUGUUGGUCAAUGACACAUGCAGAACCACACAUACACACAUGUGCAGUUGGUCACUGACACACAACCACACAUACACACAACCAGACACAUGUUUAUUUGGUCACUGA